GCUCAGUUGGUAGAGCGCAACCUUGCCAAGGUUGAGGUCGCGAGUUCGAGACUCGUCUCCCGCUCCA
RNAcentral lists this transfer RNA (67 nucleotides) under Burkholderia vietnamiensis. RNAcentral describes it as "tRNA-Gly". It matches the Rfam family "tRNA", at positions 10 to 71 of the family's 71-position model. From Rfam's summary of the family: Transfer RNA (tRNA) molecules are approximately 80 nucleotides in length. Their secondary structure includes four short double-helical elements and three loops (D, anti-codon, and T loops). Further hydrogen bonds mediate the characteristic L-shaped molecular structure. tRNAs have two regions of fundamental functional importance: the anti-codon, which is responsible for specific mRNA codon recognition, and the 3' end, to which the tRNAs corresponding amino acid is attached (by aminoacyl-tRNA synthetases). tRNAs cope with the degeneracy of the genetic code in two manners: having more than one tRNA (with a specific anti-codon) for a particular amino acid; and 'wobble' base-pairing, i.e. permitting non-standard base-pairing at the 3rd anti-codon position. The record is from RNAcentral. Lineage: Bacteria; Pseudomonadati; Pseudomonadota; Betaproteobacteria; Burkholderiales; Burkholderiaceae.